This 1134-nucleotide ribosomal RNA is filed under the name Vibrio ruber. RNAcentral's name for it is "bacterial SSU rRNA". It matches the Rfam family "Bacterial small subunit ribosomal RNA", at positions 37 to 1165 of the family's 1533-position model. The record is from RNAcentral. Lineage: Bacteria; Pseudomonadati; Pseudomonadota; Gammaproteobacteria; Vibrionales; Vibrionaceae.
UAGGGGGGGCUAACACAUGCAAGUCGAGCGGAACGAGAGAAAGCUUGCUUUCUCGGCGUCGAGCGGCGGACGGGUGAGUAAAGUCUGGGAAAUUGCCCUGAUGUGGGGGAUAACCAUUGGAAACGAUGGCUAAUACCGCAUGAUGUCUACGGACCAAAGAGGGGGACCUUCGGGCCUCUCGCGUCAGGAUAUGCCCAGAUGGGAUUAGCUAGUUGGUGAGGUAAUGGCUCACCAAGGCGACGAUCCCUAGCUGGUCUGAGAGGAUGAUCAGCCACACUGGAACUGAGACACGGUCCAGACUCCUACGGGAGGCAGCAGUGGGGAAUAUUGCACAAUGGGCGCAAGCCUGAUGCAGCCAUGCCGCGUGUAUGAAGAAGGCCUUCGGGUUGUAAAGUACUUUCAGCAGUGAGGAAGGGAGUAGUUUUAACAGAGCUGCUUUUUGACGUUAGCUGCAGAAGAAGCACCGGCUAACUCCGUGCCAGCAGCCGCGGUAAUACGGAGGGUGCGAGCGUUAAUCGGAAUUACUGGGCGUAAAGCGCAUGCAGGUGGUCUGUUAAGUCAGAUGUGAAAGCCCGGGGCUUAACCCCGGAGUUGCAUUUGAAACUGGCAGGCUAGAGUACUGUAGAGGGGGGUAGAAUUUCAGGUGUAGCGGUGAAAUGCGUAGAGAUCUGAAGGAAUACCGGUGGCGAAGGCGGCCCCCUGGACAGAUACUGACACUCAGAUGCGAAAGCGUGGGGAGCAAACAGGAUUAGAUACCCUGGUAGUCCACGCCGUAAACGAUGUCUACUUGGAGGUUGUGGCCUAGAGCCGUGGCUUUCGGAGCUAACGCGUUAAGUAGACCGCCUGGGGAGUACGGUCGCAAGAUUAAAACUCAAAUGAAUUGACGGGGGCCCGCACAAGCGGUGGAGCAUGUGGUUUAAUUCGAUGCAACGCGAAGAACCUUACCUACUCUUGACAUCCAGAGAAGCCGGAAGAGAUUCUGGUGUGCCUUCGGGAGCUCUGAGACAGGUGCUGCAUGGCUGUCGUCAGCUCGUGUUGUGAAAUGUUGGGUUAGUCCCGCACGAGCGCAACCCUUAUCCUUGAUUGCCAGCACUUCGGGUGGGAACUUCAGGGAGACUGCCCGGUGAUAAACCC